Molecule: transfer RNA, 69 nt
Filed under: Phyllobacterium endophyticum
Lineage: Bacteria; Pseudomonadati; Pseudomonadota; Alphaproteobacteria; Hyphomicrobiales; Phyllobacteriaceae
Description: tRNA-Ser
Source: RNAcentral
GCCGUGAUAAGGCUAAAACGGCGAUUUGUAAUCAGAGGGUCGGGAGUUCGAGUCUCUCCGGGGGCACCA